UUAUAAAAACAUUCUUAAAGUUAUACAUUUUAAAACAUAACACGGCUACACUUGAGCGUUUUAGUAGUAGUUAGGAAGUAGUACAAUAUUAGUAAGCAACCCGUACCAAGGAUGUAGUAUAAUAUUUGGGGCAACACGUACUAAGUGAGACAUUUUUGCGUGUGUAUUAGUGAAAAUCUUAGGAUUGGUUACUUGUAGAUUUAUGCAAUGGUGUCGGUGACUGUUUGAAGCAUUACGAUUGGACACAUGUAGACAUCGUAAAGGGGGGGCAUAAAACUGCUCACAUAAGAAUUUUUAUCAAUAAGCAGAGGAAACCUGUAGAAAAUAAUAAACCUAUUUUAACCCGCCCAUAAUGUGCUUGAUCGGUAUAUCGUUUUAGAAAGAUUUUAUAAAAAGUUUCGGUGUCUUUGGGAUGAAAUUUACAUUACAUAUAAUUUUAUUAAUAGACGCCCUGAUGCUUUAGAUUGCGUACAUAGUGAUUUCAAUUUGGAAACUGAUUUAUGUAUGACAACAAUUUGGAAAGUGAAAUUGCAAAAAAUAUGUUUCGAUGUAAAGAAACAAACAUUACGUUGUAAAUGAUACAAUAUUGCGUAUUUGUAAAUUACCAUACUCCUACGAUCAAAUUGCUUUUAUCAAAGUAAAUGUUUUAGUGUGCAUCUAAUUGUUUUCAAAGCUAAUAUGUGGCCAGUAUUAUAGUGCUCACCACCAACAAAAGUUAGAAUCAUGGGAAAUUUCUUCAUUUGCAACACCUCUUUGCAUUCAUUGAAACAAUUUAAAAAUCUAACCUGAUAAUAUGAAUACUUUGUUUAAAUAAAAACAGGAUUUUUUCUAUGCCAAA
Long non-coding RNA from Bactrocera oleae (olive fruit fly), 838 nucleotides. RefSeq lists it as uncharacterized. Lineage: Eukaryota; Metazoa; Arthropoda; Insecta; Diptera; Tephritidae. The record is from RefSeq and is a predicted model, not a curated record.